CCUACGGGAGGCUGCAGUGGGGAAUAUUGCACAAUGGGGGAAACCCUGAUGCAGCAACGCCGCGUGAGUGAAGAAGUAUUUCGGUAUGUAAAGCUCUAUCAGCAGGGAAGAAGAUGACGGUACCUGAGUAAGAAGCCCCGGCUAACUACGUGCCAGCAGCCGCGGCAAUACGUAGGGGGCAAGCGUUAUCCGGAUUUACUGGGUGGAAAGGGAGCGUAGACGGUGAGGCAAGUCUGAAGUGAAAGCCCGGGGCGCAACCCCGGGACUGCUUUGGAAACUGCCUGACUGGAGUGCUGGAGAGGCAAGCGGAAUUCCUAGUGUAGCGGUGAAAUGCGUAGAUAUUAGGAAGAACACCAGUGGCGAAGGCGGCUUGCUGGACAGUAACUGACGUUGAGGCUCGAAAGCGUGGGGAGCAAACAGGAUUAGAUACCCGGGUAGUC
Molecule: ribosomal RNA, 440 nt
Filed under: uncultured bacterium
Lineage: Bacteria
Description: partial 16S ribosomal RNA
Rfam family: Bacterial small subunit ribosomal RNA
Source: RNAcentral